CGGGCGGGACGGGGUGGAGGUAAACGACGUGGAGUAAACCUGCCUCACACAGGGGGAUAACAGUUAGAAAUGACUGCUAAUACCGCAUAAGCGCACAGUACCGCAUGGUACAGUGUGAAAAACUCCGGUGGUGUGAGAUGGAUCCGCGUCUGAUUAGGUAGUUGGUGGGGUAACGGCCCACCAAGCCGACGAUCAGUAGCCGACCUGAGAGGGUGACCGGCCACAUUGGGACUGAGACACGGCCCAA
RNAcentral lists this ribosomal RNA (247 nucleotides) under uncultured bacterium. Its description in RNAcentral is "partial 16S ribosomal RNA". It matches the Rfam family "Bacterial small subunit ribosomal RNA", at positions 104 to 334 of the family's 1533-position model. The record is from RNAcentral.